AAGUGGUAGCAAUACCAUGAGUAAAGUGGCGCACGGGUGAGUAACACGUGACUAACCUACCCUGGAGUGGUGGAUAACUGAGGGAAACCUUAGCUAAUACCGCAUAAUACCCACGGGUCAAAGGAGCAAUUCGCUUUGGGAGGGGGUCGCGGCCGAUUAGUUAGUUGGCGGGGUAACGGCCCACCAAGACGAUGAUCGGUAUCCGGCCUGAGAGGGCGCACGGACACACUGGAACUGAAACACGGUCCAGACUCCUACGGGAGGCAGCAGUGGGGAAUUUUGCGCAAUGGGGGAAACCCUGACGCAGCAACGCCGCGUGGAGGAUGAAGUCCUUCGGG
Molecule: ribosomal RNA, 338 nt
Filed under: uncultured bacterium
Lineage: Bacteria
Description: bacterial SSU rRNA
Rfam family: Bacterial small subunit ribosomal RNA
Source: RNAcentral